CGGAUCGCAGCCUGCAACCCGGCCUGCGUGAAGCUGGAAUCGCUAGUAAUCGCGGAUCAGAAUGCCGCGGUGAAUACGUUCCCGGGUCUUGUACACACCGCCCGUCACACCAUGGGAGCCGGAAACGCCCGAAGCCAGUGGCCUGACCGCGAGGAGGGAGCUGUCGAAGGCGGGUCCGGUGACCGGGUGAAGUCGUAACAAGGUAUC
Molecule: ribosomal RNA, 207 nt
Filed under: uncultured bacterium
Lineage: Bacteria
Description: partial 16S ribosomal RNA
Rfam family: Bacterial small subunit ribosomal RNA
Source: RNAcentral